UCACGUACUUGCCACUGUAUCACUGCUCACCAAUGGUGGCCCCACAACUGUUCCUCGGUUGAUUAUGUUACAUUUGGUUGCCAUUCUUGGAAUGCUUUAAAAGGAUUAGUUACUCACUGGUUUGAUUCUUUCUCAGUUUUAGUUGUUGGGUUUUAAUUACUUUUCUCUAUUGGAACAAUGUCUCUCUGUCUCUUUUUUAUGGACUGCUUACUUUAUUCUCUCUUGGCCUCUUGCAAUUUUUUUUCUUGAGCUAUUAUUUGUUUUGAGUGAAAUGCAUUUUUAAUGUGAUGAUAUUGUCACUCUUUGUUUACCAAUGUUACAAUUCAGAAUUUCUUUAGGAAAUUUAUGAUCAGGUGUGUGUGUGUUUACCUGAAUUUCCUGUCUAUGCAUUCAAAUAACUCGUUUCAUUGUAGGAGAUUUUGACCAAAUUUUCCUGAAUUAGAUUAGGUAGGUGAUUAAUUUUUUAGGUGCUUUGUUCAUAUAGCGGCUAGGGCUUUUGAUGAUGCACAUGAUCUCUUAUAUUUUUGGCAGAUUGGAUGAUGAGAUAGAAACUCUGAACAGCAUAACAAUAGAUGCCACAACUUUGCAGCUCUUCCUACCUCCCCUACAUGUACAAGCCUUUUGCAGUUGUAGUUUGCAUAAGAAUGCUAAAUUGGGAGUUUGAUGUGUUGAAUGCCAGCUCAUGAAAUUUAGGAAAAACAUUCAGAACCUUUAUAUUGAACAGGGUUUUUCUGUGCUGACUUUGGGGCAAGGAAGAUAAUUUAUGUUAUGGAUGUCCUCAGUUUAUCUUUAAUGAGGUCAAGCAUCCUAUAUAGAAAUCCUGAAGUUCCUUUAAAACAAAAUUAUAUGUCAGGAAUUUUAGGCCUUGUCAGUUCUAGGUAAUGCAAAAUUGUGUUUAAAUGAGCAUAUGUAUUUGAGCAACAAGGAGUUGGUGUUUGUUCAUCAUUAAAAUCCCCUUUAAGUGAGACAA
Long non-coding RNA from Populus trichocarpa (black cottonwood), 970 nucleotides. RefSeq lists it as uncharacterized. NCBI's taxonomy places the organism in Eukaryota, Viridiplantae, Streptophyta, Magnoliopsida, Malpighiales, Salicaceae. The record is from RefSeq and is a predicted model, not a curated record. The transcript is spliced from 2 exons.